GUGUUGGAAGUGGCGAUGCAUACAAAAUUUUGUUGAAGGUAGAAACCUUCAACAAAAUUUUGUAUGCAUCGCCACUUCCAACACUU
Non-coding RNA from Paramuricea clavata, 86 nucleotides. Lineage: Eukaryota; Metazoa; Cnidaria; Anthozoa; Malacalcyonacea; Plexauridae. The record is from the annotation of a GenBank genome assembly.